UAAAAUUUAAGAUUUAAAUUACGUGAAUUAGACGGUUUCAUUAAGAAUUACUAUAUAAAUAGUUAAAUUUUAUAAUAAAUGUAUAUUUCAGGAAAGCAUGUUUAUAUACAUAGAAAAAAUUUCUAUCUUAGGCUAGACCGAAUGUGGCUAGAUUUGAGUUUAGUACAUUCUAUAAUUUUCAGCUUGUCUGAAUUUAGGGAUUCGGAGAUGCGGAUCUAAAAUAGAAUUAAGUUGUAGCUCCAGCGUUAGUGAAAAUAGUUAUUCUAGAGAGAUUUUUAUAGUGCGACAAUAGGGAUUCCAUUAAUUAAGAAAGAUUUAAAUAGUUGGUAAGAAAGGGUUGAUUGGUAAGUAGGUACAGAAAAAUUUUAAUUUCAAAUGUUUUAAAUUAAUAGGAGGGUUGGUUUAUUUUUAGAUUUAAGUGAAGAAUGAAUUAAAAAUAAAUUUAAAAAUAUUUUAAGAUAUCCCAGAAGAGCAGGGAAUUUUAAUAGAUUCGGAAAAAUGAGUUAUUAAUUUAAAAUAAAUAAUUAGAUUUUGUCAAUUUUAAAGUAAGAAAGAAAGUAGGUUCAAAAGUUAAUUUUUUGUUAACUAAUACGAUGGAAACAUGUCAGUUCUAUGACGUCGGUAAAUUCAAGGGUGAGUAUCUCGUCUGUAUAAAAUUUAAUAUUAGUUUUUUGAUACAAAAAUAAUUUGUCAACUUGAAAUUAAACGGCUUAAGAAUUUUGAUUAUAUGUGGAAUGAAAAUUUAUUGGAUAAGAUUAAAUAUGAUUAUAAUAGUAAUAUUGAAGUAGGUUUUUAUAAUGUUAAUUAAAAAAGAAUUAAGUAAUUAUAUGUAAAAGGAUUUAAGUAUGGGGAGAAGGUUAAUAUUUAAUAAUUUAAUAGGAAUUUUUUAAGUUUAAGAUAUUUGUAAAUAUAAAGAUUACAUUCGGGAUGAAAAUUUGGAUCUAGUGUUAAAUAGGGCGUUGGAUAUUUAAGAUUCGAUAAUAUAAUUAAGAGAGGAAUUAAUUUGAUAUAUUUUUGGAUUGAUUUAAUUUAAAAUACUAAUUUUUUUGAUCUAUAGAAUUUUUAACUGAUUUUAAAUAAGUGAUUAAUUUAUAAGUUUUAUUAAAAAGUUGUGAUUGAGAGUAUGAAUUAAGUGAGAAAGAUUAAGUUCUUUUAAAUGAUCAUUUGAAAAUAAAAUUAUUGGGGACUAUGUUUUCCAUGUGAUUUUAUUUGGAGGAAUAGAGGUAGAAAGAGAAAAGUGAAUGUAAUGAGAAGAUAUAGUGAUAGUAUUAAAUGAGUGAAUAGGAUGAGUUUGUAUAGUUAUAAAUAUAUUGAAAUAAAUAGGGAGGAUUAAUGAUUGGGGGAUAUUAUAGUAAUAAAU
Molecule: ribosomal RNA, 1360 nt
Filed under: Wasmannia auropunctata (little fire ant)
Lineage: Eukaryota; Metazoa; Arthropoda; Insecta; Hymenoptera; Formicidae
Description: LSU rRNA
Source: RNAcentral